CUUGUGCAGCGCUACGCCCAGGAGAAGUUGGACGAGGAGCGAUCGCUGGCUGACCCCAGAGCCUUGCGCACUGCCGAGCUGGCCACGGCGGCCGGCGGUAGUAUCGAGGAGCGCGUGCGUUCCCGCGCCGGUGCCCGACAACGACAACACGACGCCAUGACUAGAAACUUUCUUAGCAAGUAGCAAGCAGUAAUGCAGUGAAGUCUGUUCAUAUGCACGCGAUGAAUUAUAUAGAUCCUUCAAUUAUUGUUCCUUCAUCUGACUGCUCACUGGUGGCCUGAAAGGAGAGUCUCAAACCCUUGAUGCAGUUGGCCUGAUUCAUCAUAAAUUUAGGCAUUAAAAAAAUACAUUCAAACGAACCUAUCGUCUUAAUAAAAGACCAAGCUUAUGCGACAGAACUAU
Long non-coding RNA from Hyalella azteca, 402 nucleotides. RefSeq lists it as uncharacterized. Lineage: Eukaryota; Metazoa; Arthropoda; Malacostraca; Amphipoda; Hyalellidae. The record is from RefSeq and is a predicted model, not a curated record. The transcript is spliced from 3 exons.